GUUUCCCUUUUUUGUAAGUCACUUUGGAUAAAAGCGUCUUCUAAAUGACUGAAU
Larimichthys crocea (large yellow croaker) is the source of this 54-nucleotide non-coding RNA. NCBI's taxonomy places the organism in Eukaryota, Metazoa, Chordata, Actinopteri, Sciaenidae. The record is from Rfam.